This 1330-nucleotide long non-coding RNA is filed under the name Anas platyrhynchos platyrhynchos (common mallard). RNAcentral's name for it is "lncRNA (ENSAPLG00000022862.1)". Lineage: Eukaryota; Metazoa; Chordata; Aves; Anseriformes; Anatidae. The record is from RNAcentral.
AAGAUCAAUUAAAUUGAUAAUGGUAUUGAUAGUGGGCUUUCAACCUAGCAACUAGAAGUGUAACAAGACCCAAUGGCUGGCAGCUGAAGUCAGACAAAUUCAGCCUUUCAAUCAGGUACAGAGUUUUAACUGCAAGCGGAAGUAAUUAGAACUGGUUACAUUGGUUUCUGUUGGCAAUCUAAAAAUCAAGGCUGUCUAUUUCCUAAAAUGUAUGCUUUAUUGCAGGUGGAAAGUUGAGGAUGACCUAUGGCCUGUGCUGUGAAAAGCAGGAACUAAAUGAUCACAGUGUAAAUGUAUCUGAUCACUUAUUCAGAAACUCCAUCAAAUUAACUACCGCUGUUUCUGCCAUCCACUAACUACCAUGGUUAUUGGGGUCAUAAUGCUGCUGGAGUUGGGACAGGACAGGUCUUGAGAGAAAUUAAGACUUAAAAGGACAUGAGAUUUUUCUGAAAAUGUUAAAUGAAAAGGGGAAGCAGGAGUAAGGAGACAAGACUAGGGUCACAUUGGUGAUUCUACAGGUUGAAAACAGAAUGACUUUAACAGAAAGGACAAAGAAGACAAAGAGAAGUGCCAAUUUUAUUCUACACUGACUGCAUCAAGGUUUAGUACACAUGCUGAGGUGUGAGGCUGUUUGACAGAGCAGUCUCAAAAGCUUUAUCCCAGCUAGAGGACCUACAUACCUGUGCACAGCCCAGCUGCCUACUGCAGGAAGAGAUCCAGAUGCAUACCAGCCUUUUCCCCCAGGGUGAAGGAAAGAUUUUCUCAUCUGCCCUGAAAAGGUUGGUCAGCACCCACAGGCUCUGGCCUGACAUAGCCUGUUCACCCAGCCCAGGUGCCUGAGAAGUGGAAUUAAGCAGGAGCUGACUGGUGAAUGCAGUGAGUGACUGAUGUUUCUGUGAGAUGGGCCAAGAAACACCAGCAGGAUCCAGAAAUGUUGCCAGAGGAAAUCCAAGGGGAAGAUUAAGUAUAUUGUGGACAAGGAACAACCUGGCAAUAUAAUGAUGGUAAGAAGUUGGGGGUUGCUAGUCUGGGACUGUUUCAUGGAAAUUCAUGGAACUGUUAUUGUUGAAUCAGUUGUUGAAAUUGCUUAUUUUUGAAUCAUUGAAUUGUUAUUUAGUAUUUACUGUUACUUGCUGAAGAGUUCCUCUUUGAACCGUUGUUAAUGUUAGCACUCACACCUGAUCAUUUGAAAAGAAGCUCAGAUGUGAAUGGCUCUGUAGAUGUACUUCUAGAACAUAAAAUAUCAGCUGUGAGAAACUGUGACAUUUAGACCUAUAUAGAAGUAGCCAUCUUACUUACAGGAGCAAUAAAACCACCUUACUCAAAGACA